This 466-nucleotide ribosomal RNA is filed under the name uncultured bacterium. RNAcentral describes it as "partial 16S ribosomal RNA". It matches the Rfam family "Bacterial small subunit ribosomal RNA", at positions 28 to 505 of the family's 1533-position model. The record is from RNAcentral.
GACGAACGCUGGCGGCGUGCUUAACACAUGCAAGUCGAACGGUGAUGCCCCAGCUUGCUGGAGUGGAUCAGUGGCGAACGGGUGAGUAACACGUGAGCAACCUGCCCCAGACUCUGGAAUAAGCGCUGGAAGCGGCGUCUAAUACUGGAUACGAAACUGGCCCGCAUGGGCAUGGUUUGGAAAGUUUUUCGGUUUGGGAUGGGCUCGCGGCCUAUCAGCUUGUUGGUGAGGUAAUGGCUCACCAAGGCGACGACGGGUAGCCGGCCUGAGAGGGCGACCGGCCACACUGGGACUGAGACACGGCCCAGACUCCUACGGGAGGCAGCAGUGGGGAAUAUUGCACAAUGGGCGAAAGCCUGAUGCAGCGACGCCGCGUGAGGGAUGACGGCCUUCGGGUUGUAAACCUCUUUCAGCAGGGAAGAAGCGAAAGUGACGGUACCUGCAGAAGAAGCACCGGCUAACUACG